GUACUCAUUUUAGUAGCACAAACUUAAUUUGAAACACUAUAGAGGUUAGAAUGGCACCUACGCCAAGAAUGACAUGCAAAUUUGUGAAGUGUUCCGUAUUUUC
Small nuclear RNA from Myotis lucifugus (little brown bat), 103 nucleotides. NCBI's taxonomy places the organism in Eukaryota, Metazoa, Chordata, Mammalia, Chiroptera, Vespertilionidae. The record is from Ensembl.